AAACCACAAAGUUCCUCUGAACCCAAGCAUAAUCAAUCUUCUCUUUACUUGAUAGGUGCCAAGUAUUAUUCUGAUCCCACCAGUGCUGUGUGGUGGAUGAAGCACAAGCAGGGUAAGGGUUUUUCCAUGGACAAGCGUCUAUGGUAAAAUCCUUAUAAGAUGCUACAAAUGGUGCAUUUUCCCAGUUUAUCUUGUCCAAGCCUCCUCUAGUAGCCCAAUUAUCUGCAUUCCAUAUGCUUGAAAACACGUACAUCGGCCUCUGGGCUGGAAAGAAAUUGUUUGUGUGAUUCGCGUUCUUGUAUACCCUUAUUGGUACUUUAUCCACAAAAAAUACAAUUUGAUGAGAGUUCCAAAGAAUGGAAUAAGUAUGAAAGUCGA
RNAcentral lists this unclassified non-coding RNA (378 nucleotides) under Hevea brasiliensis (rubber tree). Lineage: Eukaryota; Viridiplantae; Streptophyta; Magnoliopsida; Malpighiales; Euphorbiaceae. The record is from RNAcentral.